This is a long non-coding RNA of Acinonyx jubatus (cheetah), 386 nucleotides long. RefSeq lists it as uncharacterized. The record is from RefSeq and is a predicted model, not a curated record. NCBI's taxonomy places the organism in Eukaryota, Metazoa, Chordata, Mammalia, Carnivora, Felidae. The transcript has 3 exons.
CGUCAGGGGAAUGACGCAGGCGUGUGACGUAGCCUCAGGCUACUCUUGACCUUCUGCGGAUUCCAGAUGGAGGAUCGUCUUCCUCCUGACCAGCGCUGACCACAGAGAUGCAAGAGAGACUAUGGCUUGGACCUGCGUUCAAAAUUAAGCUUCUCACUCAUUUUCUGCAAAACUGGACCAGCCACCCCAAAUUGCCCGUGCCCUCUGCACAGGAACAGAGCCUGCCCAAGUAGGUGUCGGUUUGGAGGCAGAGAAAUGGCAGGAGAAGAAAGAAAAUUCCAGUGUUUUUACUCAGUGAGAAAAGUAAGGAUCUUAUCCAGGAUACUACAUUGUAUUCAGUCCUGUGUCUCCUUAGGCUCCUCUUCACGGUGACAGUUCCUCAGGUA